Molecule: long non-coding RNA, 1078 nt
Organism: Triticum urartu
Lineage: Eukaryota; Viridiplantae; Streptophyta; Magnoliopsida; Poales; Poaceae
Source: RefSeq, a predicted model, not a curated record
GUUGCCGCCCUUCGUUCCCCACCCACAAAAUCCCUAGCUUUCCUGUUGUUCCCCACGCAUGCCGCCGCCCCACGCCGGCCAAUCCCCAUGCCUCCCACCGCCGCCCCAUGUCGUCGGGGGCUACCGCCGGUCUAUCCCACUGUCGCCCCAUGCCGCCCUGCCUCUGCAUCACCAUCCCACGCCGCCCUUCCUCUGUAGCACCGCCCCACACGAUGCCCCGUCCCCACAGCCCCGCCCAAUUCCGACAUGCCUCUCCACCGUCGGCUCCACACCCUCGGGCUCUCUCUCCGUUUAACCGCCUCUCUCCAACCUCCCUGGCCCAACCCCCCAUCUCCAUCGUCCAGCUCAUGAAGACACACGCAGUGGCGGUGGCGGCGAAGAUUUGGAUCUGGGCCGCGUGUGGCUGGGCAAGGACAUCCCUCUCUGUCUUUGGCUGGGCAAGGGCAUCGAUGCGGCUGAGGUAGAACAGAGGACAGAUGCUGGUAACGCUGAGCUGACAAAGAGAAGUAGCAGAAUAUUUGCUAUGCCACUGUAGUGCAUAAGAGCAUGGGGAGCUUUUAUCGUUCUUGGAUUUCAUAAAAUAAAAGAGAUGACAGAAAUGGGGUGGGAGGUAUGUGGAAACAGAGCUUCUUACUUGUGGCAGUAGACGACUAGGCAGUUCAUGCAGGCUCUGGAAACAUUACUUGAUGUCUCUGUACUCUGGUAUGGGAUGGUGCACUUUUAAUGAUGAAAAGAAUGGCACGCACUCCAAAUAUAUUCCUAGAAAGUGGAUUAACUGAAGAAGAAUCUACUACAGAAGUAAGAUCUGGUUACAAUCAAUCUGAAAGGCAAAAUGAAUUCUGUGUGUGGGGAACAACAUAGCAGGUGAAUCUUAUCUGAACAGGGACGUCUUCCUCAUCCCGCCACUUAGGAAAGACAUAAAAGACCAGGAAGGAACUAUGGAGAUAGUUUGCGUCAACUAGAUAGUUUGUGUAAGGUGCAAAAUAAUGCACCGUUUGGCUAUCAUUUUGUAAGCCUUUAUGUUGUAUUGUCAACUGGAUAUUUUGUACAAAAUCAAUGACAUGCAUCUAUUAUUGUA